This 85-nucleotide transfer RNA is filed under the name Candidatus Omnitrophota bacterium. Its description in RNAcentral is "tRNA-Leu". It matches the Rfam family "tRNA". Rfam says of the family: Transfer RNA (tRNA) molecules are approximately 80 nucleotides in length. Their secondary structure includes four short double-helical elements and three loops (D, anti-codon, and T loops). Further hydrogen bonds mediate the characteristic L-shaped molecular structure. tRNAs have two regions of fundamental functional importance: the anti-codon, which is responsible for specific mRNA codon recognition, and the 3' end, to which the tRNAs corresponding amino acid is attached (by aminoacyl-tRNA synthetases). tRNAs cope with the degeneracy of the genetic code in two manners: having more than one tRNA (with a specific anti-codon) for a particular amino acid; and 'wobble' base-pairing, i.e. permitting non-standard base-pairing at the 3rd anti-codon position. The record is from RNAcentral. Lineage: Bacteria; Pseudomonadati; Candidatus Omnitrophota.
GCUGCGGUGGCGGAACAGGCAGACGCGCACGCUUGAGGGGCGUGUGGGGCAACCCGUGCGAGUUCAAAUCUCGCUCUCGGCACCA